CGGGCUGUGUGCAUACAUAGCGCCGGACUUCCUGACAGCGCGGGGGCUCCGCCGGCUUCGGGUGUUGGCACAAACGGUCGCCUGCACCGGCUCUCCCUCCGCCAUCCCAUAAUAGACUUCUGCGCCAGCUUGCACUGCUCACACACCUGGAAGCUUCCUCAAGACCCCUGCUUUUUUAAAAUUAAAAAAGCUCACCCCCGGCUUCCGACUGCCACCGAGGGGGACUCACAUCGCACGGCACGGCAAGCAGGACCGGCUGCUGGGUGCCGAGGACGCAGACUUCCACCCUGUCUCCCCAGAGAAAGCCCGCCACAGAUGUUUUUCUUAGCUGCUUCACAAAACAGGAACCGACUAGCUGAGAAGAAAGGCCGUCUCCCCCAGGAAAGGAGUACAAAGCCAGGUCUGUACACAGCAGAUGCAGGCGACGGUCCAUCUGCUACCAGCUCACAGCACCACAUGGAGCUGGAAGAUUUAACGCCGCGCCUGGCCGGCCUGCGUCUCUGUCGACAUCGGCAGAGUGGAGGGAGGGAGCUCCCAAACUUCAAAGGGGUAUGGACAGUGGGGACGGCCCCGGCAAGAAGACCCAUGGGGGGGGGUGGGCACUGACACAGCCAUGUAGACAUGUCCUCAUUCACAAAUAAUAACCACACUACAUAUGUUAACCACAUACCAAAGACCUGAGCAAGCCGCACACAGACUCACACACUUAAGUGUGAAGGCUAUGAAACUUUUAGCUACUCUGAAUUACUCCCCAAGACAGCAGAUCUGUUUUGUAAACCGUAUGGCAGCUCCGAUUAGCACGGUGAAACGAGCUCUGAGAGGCACGUUAUCUGCUAAUUCCGCCAGUCGGAGUAUCAUCGCUACCAGGCUGUUCCUGACCUGCGGCCCGGGGUGCCGCUGCCGCCUUAAGUCUGACCUCCUGUCUCCCCUUCUCCCUCUGGCUGUAGGUACAGUCAGACGCUCAACUAAGUGUUUCUGGUCGGGCUUAAGCAAGAGUCUGGGAACAGGGUGUCCGAUGCCACCGACUGUAGGGUAAGCGAGUACCGAUUCUCCACACCUCAUCUUCAUGCCCCUGCAUUUAAGGAGCAUCUUCGCCAAACGCUCGCUAAUGGGCAGCAUUUAAGUUCACCCGACUCGUCAACUGCAAGAAGACUGCGAACCCAAUUCCUGAUUGAUGCCGCCCAACUAUACAUUGAUAAACGCCCAGGCACAUCCAGCCAAUAACGGAUGACGGCGACAGGUCGAUGAAGCAGUAUGAACCACGCAACGUUUCCAUGCGCCGAACAUUUUGUCAUUGUAAAAUCCACAGCUGUAAAUAUUUAUUACAGUCCGGGAACAGCAGGAGUCAACAAGGCCAGCGUCCUUGAGUGCUGCUAACGUCGCACACUUUCAUAACGCUAAGGAACGGGCGGGGACUGCGCUCUCCGUCAACGACCGAGGGUGAAAAGACAAAACAGGCAUAAUAGAGGUGAAAGCGGAGCUGGGGCAGACAGCGGUGAUUGGGCACACGCCUCCAUCCCUCCUGCUAAUUUCGCUACCUCUAUUUUCCUGCAGGGCUCUGGACAGCCAAUGUCAAUGAGGUCAGACAAUACCACCAGAGCCUUUUUGUCAAGGCAAAAAAAAAAA
Long non-coding RNA from Paramormyrops kingsleyae, 1626 nucleotides. RefSeq lists it as uncharacterized. NCBI's taxonomy places the organism in Eukaryota, Metazoa, Chordata, Actinopteri, Osteoglossiformes, Mormyridae. The record is from RefSeq and is a predicted model, not a curated record.